GCCGGCGUGAUGGAAUUGGCAGACGUGCUGGACUCAAAAUCCAGUGGUGGUAACACCGUAUCGGUUCGACCCCGAUCGCCGGCACCA
Molecule: transfer RNA, 87 nt
Filed under: Eubacteriales Family XIII. Incertae Sedis bacterium
Lineage: Bacteria; Bacillati; Bacillota; Clostridia; Peptostreptococcales; Anaerovoracaceae
Description: tRNA-Leu
Rfam family: tRNA
About the family: Transfer RNA (tRNA) molecules are approximately 80 nucleotides in length. Their secondary structure includes four short double-helical elements and three loops (D, anti-codon, and T loops).
Source: RNAcentral